This 72-nucleotide transfer RNA is filed under the name Phrynosoma platyrhinos (Desert horned lizard). Its description in RNAcentral is "tRNA-OTHER". The record is from RNAcentral. Lineage: Eukaryota; Metazoa; Chordata; Lepidosauria; Squamata; Phrynosomatidae.
GCCAGCAUGAUAUAGUGGUUUGGGUGUUGGAUUAUGGCUCUGGAGGCCAGGGUUCAAUUCCCUGCUCAGCCA